GAGGGUAUAGCUCAGUGGUAGAGUGCAUGCUUAGCAUGCACAAGGUCCUGGGUUCAAUCCCAGUACCUCCA
This 71-nucleotide transfer RNA is filed under the name Camelus dromedarius (Arabian camel). It matches the Rfam family "tRNA". Rfam says of the family: Transfer RNA (tRNA) molecules are approximately 80 nucleotides in length. Their secondary structure includes four short double-helical elements and three loops (D, anti-codon, and T loops). Further hydrogen bonds mediate the characteristic L-shaped molecular structure. tRNAs have two regions of fundamental functional importance: the anti-codon, which is responsible for specific mRNA codon recognition, and the 3' end, to which the tRNAs corresponding amino acid is attached (by aminoacyl-tRNA synthetases). tRNAs cope with the degeneracy of the genetic code in two manners: having more than one tRNA (with a specific anti-codon) for a particular amino acid; and 'wobble' base-pairing, i.e. permitting non-standard base-pairing at the 3rd anti-codon position. The record is from Rfam by way of RNAcentral. RNAcentral also lists the same sequence under 1 other name. Lineage: Eukaryota; Metazoa; Chordata; Mammalia; Artiodactyla; Camelidae.